Molecule: ribosomal RNA, 445 nt
Filed under: uncultured bacterium
Lineage: Bacteria
Description: partial 16S ribosomal RNA
Rfam family: Bacterial small subunit ribosomal RNA
Source: RNAcentral
CCUACGGGGGCAGCAGUCGAGAAUCAUUCACAAUGGGGGAAACCCUGAUGGUGCGACGCCGCGUGGGGGAAUGAAGGUCUUCGGAUUGUAAACCCCUGUCAUGUGGGAGCAAAUUAAAAAUAUAGUACCACAACAGGAAGAGACUGCUAACACUGUGCCAGCAGCCCCGGUAAUACAGAGGUCUCAAGCGUUGUUCGGAAUCACUGGGCGUAAAGGGUGCGUAGGCUGUUUCGUAAGUCGUGUGUGAAAGGCGCGGGCUCAACCCGCGGACGGCCCAUGAUACUGCGAGACUAGAGUGAGGGAGGGGGAACCGGAAUUCGCGGUGUAGCAGUGAAAUGCGUAGAUAUCGCGAGGAACACUCGUGGCGAAGGCGGGUUACUGGACGGUAACUGACGCUGAGGCACGAAGGCCAGGGGAGCGAAAGGGAUUAGAUACCCCUGUAGUC